AUUGAACGCUGGCGGCAGGCUUAACACAUGCAAGUCGAGCGGGGUGAUGGUGCUUGCACUAUCACUUAGCGGCGGACGGGUGAGUAAUGCUUAGGAAUCUGCCUAUUAGUGGGGGACAACAUCUCGAAAGGGAUGCUAAUACCGCAUACGUCCUACGGGAGAAAGCAGGGGAUCACUUGUGACCUUGCGCUAAUAGAUGAGCCUAGUCGGAUUAGCUAGUUGGUGGGGUAAAGGCCUACCAAGGCGACGAUCUGUAGCGGGUCUGAGAGGAUGAUCCGCCACACUGGGACUGAGACACGGCCCAGACUCCUACGGGAGGUAGCAGUGGGGAAUAUUGGACAAUGGGGGGAACCCUGAUCCAGCCAUGCCGCGUGUGUGAAGAAGGCCUUAUGGUUGUAAAGCACCUUAAGCGAGGAGGAGGCUCUUUUGGUUAAUACCCAAGAUGAGUGGACGUUACUCGCAGAAUAAGCACCGGCCAACUCUGUGCCAGCCGCCGCGGUAA
This 502-nucleotide ribosomal RNA is filed under the name uncultured bacterium. Its description in RNAcentral is "partial 16S ribosomal RNA". It matches the Rfam family "Bacterial small subunit ribosomal RNA", at positions 30 to 523 of the family's 1533-position model. The record is from RNAcentral.